GAUGAACGCUGGCGGCGUGCUUAACACAUGCAAGUCGAACGGAAAGGCCCAAGCUUGCUUGGGUACUCGAGUGGCGAACGGGUGAGUAACACGUGGGUGAUCUGCCCUGCACUUCGGGAUAAGCCUGGGAAACUGGGUCUAAUACCGGAUAGGACCACUUCUUGGAUGUUGUGGUGGAAAGUUUUUUCGGUGUGGGAUGAGCUCGCGGCCUAUCAGCUUGUUGGUGGGGUAAUGGCCUACCAAGGCGUCGACGGGUAGCCGGCCUGAGAGGGUGUACGGCCACAUUGGGACUGAGAUACGGCCCAGACGCCUACGGGAGGCAGCAGUGGGGAAUAUUGCACAAUGGGCGCAAGGCUGAUGCAGCGAAGACGCGUGGGGGAUGACGGCCUUCGGGUUGUAAACUCCUUUCGCUAGGGACGAAGCGUUUUGUGACGGUACCUGGAGAAGAAGCACCGGCUAACUACGUG
This 467-nucleotide ribosomal RNA is filed under the name uncultured bacterium. RNAcentral describes it as "partial 16S ribosomal RNA". It matches the Rfam family "Bacterial small subunit ribosomal RNA", at positions 28 to 507 of the family's 1533-position model. The record is from RNAcentral.